This 253-nucleotide ribosomal RNA is filed under the name uncultured bacterium. RNAcentral's name for it is "partial 16S ribosomal RNA". It matches the Rfam family "Bacterial small subunit ribosomal RNA", at positions 524 to 776 of the family's 1533-position model. The record is from RNAcentral.
GACAGAGGGUGCAAACGUUGUUCGGAAUUACUGGGCGUAAAGCGCGUGUAGGCGGCCCUGCAAGUCGGAUGUGAAAUCCCACGGCUCAACCGUGGAAGUGCAUUCGAAACUGCAGGGCUAGAGUCCUGGAGAGGAAGGUGGAAUGCUUGGUGUAGAGGUGAAAUUCGUAGAUCUCAAGCGGAACACCGGUGGCGAAGGCGGCCUUCUGGACAGUGACUGACGCUGAGACGCGAAAGCGUGGGGAGCAAACAGG